Molecule: long non-coding RNA, 738 nt
Organism: Anopheles funestus (African malaria mosquito)
Lineage: Eukaryota; Metazoa; Arthropoda; Insecta; Diptera; Culicidae
Exons: 3
Source: RefSeq, a predicted model, not a curated record
AUGUGUCUCGGCUAAAGUGUCUUGGCUAAUGUGUCUUGGCUAAUGUGUCUUGGCUAAGGUGUCUUGGCUAAUGUGUCUUGGCUAAGGUGUCUUGGCUAAGGUGUCUUGGCUAAGGUGUCUUGGCUAAUGUGUCUUGGCUAAUGUGUCUUGGCUAAUGUGUCGGACAAUGUGUCUUGGCUAAUGUGUCUUGGUUAAUGUGUCUUGGCUAAGGUGUCUUGGCUAAGGUGUCUUGGCUAAUGUGUCUUGGCUACUGUGUCUUGGCUAAGGUGUCUUGGCUAAGGUGUCUUGGCUAAUGUGUCUUGGCUAAUGUGUCGUGGCUAAUGUGUCUCGGCUAAGGUGUCUUGGCUAAUGUGUCUUGGCUAAGGUGUCUUGGCUAAGGUGUCUUGGCUAAUGUGUCUUGGCUAAGGUGUCUUGGCUAAUGUGUCUUGGCUAAUGUGUCUUGGCUAAGGUGUCUUGGCUAAGGUGUCUUGGCUAAUGUGUCUUCGCUAAUGUGUCUUGGCUAAGGUGUCUUGGCUAAUGUGUCUUGGCUAAUGUGUCUUGGCUAAGGUGUCUUGGCUAAGGUGUCUUGGCUAAGGUGUCUUCGCUAAUGUGUCUUGGCUAAUGUGUCUUGGCUAAUGUGUCUUGGCUAAUGUGUCUCGGCUAAUGUAUCUUGGCUAAGGUGUCUUGGCUAAUGUGUCUUGGCUAAUGUGUCUUGGCUAAGGUGUCUUGACUAAGGUGUCUUGGCUAAGGUGUCUUGGC